CCAAUAGCGUAUAUUAAAGUUGUUGCAGUUAAAAAGCUCGUAGUUGAAUUUCGGGGUUAGUAAGUUGGUUGUGCCACUGGUAUGUACUGGCUUUACUGAUUCCUCCUUCUUGUAGAACCGUAAUGCCAUUAAGUUGGUGUUGCGGGGAAACAGGACUGUUACUUUGAAAAAAUUAGAGUGUUUAAAGCAAGCUAACGCUUGAAUACAUUAGCAUGGAAUAAUGAAAUAGGACGUUCGAUCCUAUUUUGUUGGUUUCUAGGAUUGACGUAAUGAUUAAUAGGGAUAGUUGGGGGCAUUAGUAUUCAAUUGUCAGAGGUGAAAUUCUUGGAUUUAUUGAAGACUAACUACUGCGAAAGCAUUUGCCAAGGAUGUUUUCAUUAAUCAAGAACGAAAGUUAGGGGAUCGAAGACGAUCAGAUACCGUCGUAGUCUUAACCAUAAACUAUGCCGACUAGGGAUCGGAUGAUGUUAAUUGUAUAAUGACUCAUUCGGCGCCUUACG
This 500-nucleotide unclassified non-coding RNA is filed under the name uncultured Glomus. Its description in RNAcentral is "SSU rRNA". It matches the Rfam family "Eukaryotic small subunit ribosomal RNA", at positions 591 to 1092 of the family's 1831-position model. The record is from RNAcentral. Lineage: Eukaryota; Fungi; Glomeromycota; Glomeromycetes; Glomerales; Glomeraceae.